CAGUAGCCACGGUAAAACGGGGGGGGCUAGCGUUGUUCGGAAUUACUGGGCGUAAGGCGCACGUAGGCGGCUUUGUAAGUUAGAGGUGAAAGCCCGGAGCUCAACUCCGGAAUUGCCUUUAAGACUGCAGAGCUAGCAGGUGAGAGAGGUGAGUGGAAUUCCGAGUGUAGAGGUGAAAUUCGUUGAUAUUCGGAAGAACACCAGUGGCGAAGGCGGCUCACUGGCUCAUACUGGACGCUGAGGUGCGAAAGCGUGGGGAGCAAACAGGAUUAGAUACCCCGGUAGUCCCUGUCUCUUAUAC
This 301-nucleotide ribosomal RNA is filed under the name uncultured bacterium. Its description in RNAcentral is "partial 16S ribosomal RNA". It matches the Rfam family "Bacterial small subunit ribosomal RNA", at positions 509 to 807 of the family's 1533-position model. The record is from RNAcentral.